UUACGGCAAUAUCAGAUUGAAAUACCGCUUCUCGUACGAUCACCAAAGUUAAGCAACGUCGAACCUGGCCAGUACCUAGAUAGGUGACUGUUUGGGAGUACCAGGUGCU
Acanthosepion pharaonis is the source of this 109-nucleotide non-coding RNA. The record is from the annotation of a GenBank genome assembly. Lineage: Eukaryota; Metazoa; Mollusca; Cephalopoda; Sepiida; Sepiidae.